RNAcentral lists this ribosomal RNA (190 nucleotides) under uncultured bacterium. Its description in RNAcentral is "partial 16S ribosomal RNA". It matches the Rfam family "Bacterial small subunit ribosomal RNA", at positions 343 to 524 of the family's 1533-position model. The record is from RNAcentral.
GGGAGGCAGCAGUAGGGAAUUUUCGGCAAUGGGGGAAACCCUGACCGAGCAACGCCGCGUGAGUGAAGAAGGCCUUCGGGUUGUAAAGCUCUGUUGUAAGGGAAGAAGAGAUCAUAAUAGGGAAUGCUAUGAUUGUGACGGUACCUUACCAGAAAGCCACGGCUAACUACGUGCCAGCAGCCGCGGUAAU